GCUCUCCCAUAUGGUCGACCUGCAGGCGGCCGCGAAUUCACUAGUGAUUAGAGUUUGAUCAUGGCUCAGAACGAACGCUGGCGGCAUGCCUAAUACAUGCAAGUCGAACGAAGGCUUCGGCCUUAGUGGCGCACGGGUGCGUAACGCGUGGGAAUCUGCCCCUUGGUUCGGAAUAACAGUUAGAAAUGACUGCUAAUACCGGAUGACGACGUAAGUCCAAAGAUUUAUCGCCGAGGGAUGAGCCCGCGUAGGAUUAGCUAGUUGGUGUGGUAAAGGCGCACCAAGGCGACGAUCCUUAGCUGGUCUGAGAGGAUGAUCAGCCACACUGGGACUGAGACACGGCCCAGACUCCUACGGGAGGCAGCAGUGGGGAAUAUUGGACAAUGGGCGAAAGCCUGAUCCAGCAAUGCCGCGUGAGUGAUGAAGGCCUUAGGGUUGUAAAGCUCUUUUACCCGGGAUGAUAAUGACAGUACCGGGAGAAUAAGCUCGGCUAACUCCGUGCCAGCAGCCGCGGUAAAUCGAAUUCCCGCGGCCGCC
RNAcentral lists this ribosomal RNA (537 nucleotides) under uncultured Alphaproteobacteria bacterium. Its description in RNAcentral is "bacterial SSU rRNA". It matches the Rfam family "Bacterial small subunit ribosomal RNA", at positions 1 to 542 of the family's 1533-position model. Lineage: Bacteria; Pseudomonadati; Pseudomonadota; Alphaproteobacteria. The record is from RNAcentral.